GCCUCUAUAGCUCAGUGGUAGAGCGCUUGACGUAUGUGAUCCCGCCAUAUUAAUAUUGAUAAGUCAUUGUAAACUAACCCUUGAAACAGUUGUAAUCAAGAGGUCCGUGGUUCAAUCCCGCGUGGAGGCU
Molecule: transfer RNA, 130 nt
Filed under: Aspergillus pseudocaelatus
Lineage: Eukaryota; Fungi; Ascomycota; Eurotiomycetes; Eurotiales; Aspergillaceae
Description: tRNA-Ile
Rfam family: tRNA
About the family: Transfer RNA (tRNA) molecules are approximately 80 nucleotides in length. Their secondary structure includes four short double-helical elements and three loops (D, anti-codon, and T loops). Further hydrogen bonds mediate the characteristic L-shaped molecular structure. tRNAs have two regions of fundamental functional importance: the anti-codon, which is responsible for specific mRNA codon recognition, and the 3' end, to which the tRNAs corresponding amino acid is attached (by aminoacyl-tRNA synthetases). tRNAs cope with the degeneracy of the genetic code in two manners: having more than one tRNA (with a specific anti-codon) for a particular amino acid; and 'wobble' base-pairing, i.e. permitting non-standard base-pairing at the 3rd anti-codon position.
Source: RNAcentral